RNAcentral lists this non-coding RNA (25 nucleotides) under Mus musculus (house mouse). Lineage: Eukaryota; Metazoa; Chordata; Mammalia; Rodentia; Muridae. The record is from RNAcentral.
AACAAAGAAUGUGGCUUGUGGCACG